Vicugna pacos (alpaca) is the source of this 1090-nucleotide non-coding RNA. The record is from RefSeq and is a predicted model, not a curated record. Lineage: Eukaryota; Metazoa; Chordata; Mammalia; Artiodactyla; Camelidae.
GGGCGGGUGCUUAGUUCAGGCCCGCCGUCGGGGCUUCUGCCCAGAAGGACUCCUGGGAGCGGGUCCCCUGCUCGUAAAAGCCGGGCCCCAAGGGACUUCUUGCUCCCUGCUUGUGGGCGCGGCCCAGAGUGUUCGGAGACCCAGGAGCUGGCAGGACGCCUCCCCGCCUGGAGCUAGGCGGCAUCUCGCACGCGUGAAGAGGCGCACCUGGGGACCAGGAAGGGAACAAGAAGGUCCUUGGUCCUCUCUGCUGCUGGCUGGCCUGCUGCAUCCAUGAGACCCGAGCAGACACGUAGACACACAGGAAAGCUGUCUGUCGGAGAAAGGGGCCAGAAACGAUGGAGCCGGAGCCCUGACAGAACUGGACCUGAAGCUCUCACAGGCGUGCGCUGCAGUAUAAAGAAAGGCAAGACUGUGUUGUGGCAGCUGUGAACACUCUCAGGACGGGACCGGACUUCAGGUCAAAGGCAAACUUCUUCACUGAGCUUUUAAGCCUUCCAUGUGCGUAACCAGUCCCCUAUGCACCUCCUCAGACCGUCCCCUUUUCCCGUCGCCCUCCUUUGCUCGCCCAUCCCAGAGGCCUUUCUGGGGGUGGGGGUGGGGUCCUCACAGCACAGGCAGCUGCCCAGAGCGGGGCCUACUGCUUAGGCCUGGGCUGCGGAGAAGCCUGAGCCCUCCCAGCAGGUCUCACUGAGCUGCCGGGGACACGGGGUGGGGGGGCUGGUGGCCGGAAACGGGAGAGAUACAGAGGUAGGGAAGGGGAACAGAGGGGAGGCAGUCAGAGGAUGCUUAAGGAAAGGUGGGGUGAGAGAGAGUAGAAAGAAAGAGUAGGAGGGGAGAGGAGAAUGGGCAGGUGGGAGGAGCAGGGAGGAGGGGGACGCGGGGAGAGGCCGGGAAGGAGCCCGGAAGGGCCAGGGCCAGGGCCAGGGCCGGCAGGCCACGGGAGCAACAGCGCGUCGCGGGAGUGCAGAGCUGAGCUCCGGCGGGAGCAGUUCCAUCAGCAGCACUUUACCAUACAAGUGCUUCUCAUCACAGCUGGUGCUAAGUGGACUGGGAGCAGCAGUAAAAAAACAGUUUUGUUUGAAAAAAA